UACGUAGGGUGCAAGCGUUAUCCGGAUUCACUGGGUUUAAAGGGUGCGUAGGCGGGCAGGUAAGUCCGUGGUGAAAUCUCUGAGCUUAACUCAGAAACUGCCAUGGAUACUAUUUGUCUUGAAUAUUGUGGAGGUAAGCGGAAUAUGUCAUGUAGCGGUGAAAUGCUUAGAUAUGACAUAGAACACCAAUUGCGAAGGCAGCUUACUAAAGUAUGAUUGACGCUGAGGCACGAAAGCGUGGGGAUCAAACAGG
RNAcentral lists this ribosomal RNA (253 nucleotides) under uncultured bacterium. RNAcentral describes it as "partial 16S ribosomal RNA". It matches the Rfam family "Bacterial small subunit ribosomal RNA", at positions 524 to 776 of the family's 1533-position model. The record is from RNAcentral.